GACGAACGCUGGCGGCGUGCUUAACACAUGCAAGUCGAACGGAAAGGCCCUGCUUUUGUGGGGUGCUCGAGUGGCGAACGGGUGAGUAACACGUGAGUAACCUGCCCUUGACUUUGGGAUAACUUCAGGAAACUGGGGCUAAUACCGGAUAUGAGCUCCUGCUGCAUGGUGGGGGUUGGAAAGUUUCGGCGGUUGGGUAUGGACUCGCGGCUUAUCAGCUUGUUGGUGGGGUAGUGGCUUACCAAGGCUUUGACGGGUAGCCGGCCUGAGAGGGUGACCGGCCACAUUGGGACUGAGAUACGGCCCAGAAUCCUACGGGAGGCAGCAGUGGGGAAUAUUGCACAAUGGGCGGAAGCCUGAUGCAGCAACGCCGCGUGCGGGAUGACGGCCUUCGGGUUGUAAACCGCUUUCGCAUGUGACGAAGCGUGAGUGACGGUAAUGGGUAAAGAAGCACCGGCUAACUACGUG
RNAcentral lists this ribosomal RNA (468 nucleotides) under uncultured bacterium. RNAcentral describes it as "partial 16S ribosomal RNA". It matches the Rfam family "Bacterial small subunit ribosomal RNA", at positions 28 to 507 of the family's 1533-position model. The record is from RNAcentral.